Molecule: ribosomal RNA, 428 nt
Filed under: uncultured bacterium
Lineage: Bacteria
Description: partial 16S ribosomal RNA
Rfam family: Bacterial small subunit ribosomal RNA
Source: RNAcentral
GUAGGGAAUAUUGCGCAAUGGGGGAAACCCUGACGCAGCGACGCCGCGUGAGUGAUGAAGGCCUUCGGGUCGUAAAGCUCUGUUGCAGGGGAAUAAAAAAAUGAAGGUACCCUGUGAGGAAGGAUCGGCUAACUUCGUGCCAGCAGCCGCGGUAAGACGAGGGAUCCUAGCGUUGCUCGGAAUCAUUGGGCGUAAAGAGGGCGUAGGUGGCUUGGUAAGUCAGGUGUGAAAGCCCAGGGCUCAACCCUGGAAGUGCAUUUGAUACUGCUGAGCUUGAGUGUCGGAGAGGUUACCGGAAUACCUGGUGUAGUGGUGAAAUACGUAGAUAUCAGGUGGAACACCGGAGGCGAAGGCGGGUAACUGGACGAACACUGACACUGAGGCCCGAAAGCGUGGGGAUCAAACAGGAUUAGAAACCCUUGUAGUCC